RNAcentral lists this ribosomal RNA (443 nucleotides) under uncultured bacterium. RNAcentral's name for it is "partial 16S ribosomal RNA". It matches the Rfam family "Bacterial small subunit ribosomal RNA", at positions 338 to 795 of the family's 1533-position model. The record is from RNAcentral.
CCUACGGGUGGCAGCAGUGGGGAAUAUUGGGCAAUGGAGGAAACUCUGACCCAGCGAUGCCGCGUGAGUGAAGAAGUUCUUCGGCUUGUAAAGUUCUUUCGUCAGGGAAGAAAUCAAUGACGGUACCUGACGAAUAAGCUCCGGCUAACUACGUGCCAGCAGCCGCGGUAAUACGUAGGGGGCAAGCGUUAUUCGGAAUUACUGGGGGUAAGGGGUGCGUGGACGGUUGUACAAGUAUGGAGUGAAAGGCGGGGGCCUAACCCCCGGUCUGCUCUGGAAACUGUAUGGCUGGAGUGCAGGAGAGGUAAGCGGAAUUCCUAGUGUAGCGGUGAAAUGCGUAGAUAUUAGGAGGAACACCAGUGGCGAAGGCGGCUAACUGGACUGUAACUGACGUUGAGGCUCGAAAGCGUGGGGAGCAAACAGGAUUAGAUACCCCUGUAGUC